Molecule: non-coding RNA, 30 nt
Filed under: Mus musculus (house mouse)
Lineage: Eukaryota; Metazoa; Chordata; Mammalia; Rodentia; Muridae
Source: RNAcentral
UAUAAAACAAAAUUUCAAGCUUUCCACUGC